AAUUUCAACCAGAUGUUCUAUUUUAACCUAAAUGGAAAGGCCCAGGCCCUUGAAUGUUUAUAAAAAAUUAAUUGCAUUUUUAAGAAUACUAAAUUUGAUUCCAUUGCUGCUAGAGCCACAUCAAAAUGUCUGUUAUGUGAUUGGUAAUCAAUGUCAACAUGAGUAUCUUGACAUUUUUUAUCUAGAAAUAUCAAUAACUAUGAUGCACAGUGGAUUAAAUUGCAUUUAACUUGACACUUCCAGUACCAUGUGACUUAUAAUCAAAAUACCACAUAACAUCAAAUUCACUCAUCUGAAACGAGUAACAAUUUGCAUCAUUACACAUUCGGAUUCCAAUUAUUAAUACACGUGUUUGUUUCUGAAUGCGUUGACUAUACUAAGUGACAUUUUGGACAUCAUUAUUUACAGAUUAAAUAAGCGCCCACAAAAACACAUCCAUCUGUUAUCAAAGUCGGAAGUGGAAUGAUAAGUUCAACUGAAUUGCUGGGGCGGCUUGGCAUCGACGACCUCGACCUCAUCUUAAGGGAAAGGAGACUCCGCUGGUAUGGCCACGUUGUCAGAUCCAGCAGUGCAGUUAAGUGCGCUUUAAACAUACAAGUUCCUGGGAGACGUAGAGUUGGUCGGCCAAUGCUAUCUUGUAGAGAGUUGACGGAGAAAGAUCGUAGAGAAUGGAAGCUCUCAACUGCCGACCCUCAAGACCGGACAGAAUGGAGAUCUGAGGUGAGAUCUGCCAUGCGUGCAGCCAGCCAGAUACCUGGAAGGGGGCCCAUUAGUGUGGACACUACCCGUGAUACUGCACGGAAAUAAAAAGGAACCGACAACAACAACAACAAAUUUACUUGUCAAGAAAUUUUAGGCAUUAUUGAUGAAGUCAAGUUCUCUCUCCCCCCCCCCCCCCCCUAUAAACGAUGUCACAUGCCUGAUUGUAUCACAUGCUUUCAUUGUGCUUUUAAUUCUAGGUGUCUGUUGUUUUUAAAACAGAUUACUAUUGAAAUCC
Ostrea edulis (European flat oyster) is the source of this 997-nucleotide long non-coding RNA. RefSeq lists it as uncharacterized. The transcript has 2 exons. The record is from RefSeq and is a predicted model, not a curated record. NCBI's taxonomy places the organism in Eukaryota, Metazoa, Mollusca, Bivalvia, Ostreida, Ostreidae.